AAAGACUGGCAACAACAAUAUUGUUUGGGCGAACUGUACCAACUCGAAAAUGAAGCAUUCUGGGUAUUCGAAAUCGUUAUACACGACUAACGGACGGCAACCAACCCCACAAACAAUGAAUCAAUUUUUUAAGGGCUUGCGAGGCGCACAGGAAAGCCACCAUUGCUCUGCCCAUCGUUGAAACAAGGGCGCCUGACUGUCAAAUGUUCUUUAGCAAGGUGUGAACAAUGUGCCUAAACAUGUAUAUAUUGCUCAAAAUAGCAGUGAGAGCUUUGACCACGGGGUUCGAAGCCGUGAGGGGAAAAUGUUCCUUUUCUUCGUUGAGUCGCACCACUACAGCUACUCGCGGAUGCCGCAAUGGCCAUCACAGAAGCCGUCGGGUUAGAGCUCGCAAGCGUCGUCCAAAUCUGGCGAUGGAUGCGUUACCCACCGUGGCAGUCACGGGCAUUUCAUUGAUUCUUCGAAGAUUGGAAAACAGGAUAAAGGCGAUUGUGCUGCUGCUCAUGUUUCUUUCUCGGUGCAGUGCUGACCUGGUAAAAUAUUAAAGCGACAACAUAUUGACAUGUGUACAUUGGUUACUUCUCUAAUGCGAAGCUUCCUUUGCCUCUUUCUUCGA
RNAcentral lists this long non-coding RNA (616 nucleotides) under Dermacentor andersoni. Its description in RNAcentral is "uncharacterized LOC126527741". The record is from RNAcentral. Lineage: Eukaryota; Metazoa; Arthropoda; Arachnida; Ixodida; Ixodidae.